GAUGAACGCUGGCGGCGUGCCUAAUACAUGCAAGUCGAGCGAACAGAUGAGGAGCUUGCUCCUCUGACGUUAGCGGCGGACGGGUGAGUAACACGUGGAUAACCUACCUAUAAGACUGGGAUAACUUCGGGAAACCGGAGCUAAUACCGGCUAAUAUCUUCAACCGCUUGGUUCAAUAGUGAAUGGCGCUUUUCCUGUCUCUAUUAGUUGGUUCCGCGCCGCAUUAGCUAGUUGGUAAGGUAACGGCUUACCAAGGCAACGAUGCGUAGCCGACCUGAGAGGGUGAUCGGCCACACUGGAACUGAGACACGGUCCAGACUCCUACGGGAGGCAGCAGUAGGGAAUCUUCCGCAAUGGGCGAAAGCCUGACGGAGCAACGCCGCGUGAGUGAUGAAGGUCUUCGGAUCGUAAAACUCUGUUAUUAGGGAAGAACAAAUGUGUAAGUAACUAUGCACGUCUUGACGGUACCUAAUCAGAAAGCCACGGCUAACUACGUG
This 497-nucleotide ribosomal RNA is filed under the name uncultured bacterium. Its description in RNAcentral is "partial 16S ribosomal RNA". It matches the Rfam family "Bacterial small subunit ribosomal RNA", at positions 28 to 507 of the family's 1533-position model. The record is from RNAcentral.